Molecule: ribosomal RNA, 429 nt
Filed under: uncultured bacterium
Lineage: Bacteria
Description: bacterial SSU rRNA
Rfam family: Bacterial small subunit ribosomal RNA
Source: RNAcentral
UAGGGAAUUUUGCGCAAUGGACGAAAGUCUGACGCAGCAACGCCGCGUGAGUGAUGAAGGUCUUCGGAUUGUAAAGCUCUGUUGAGUGGGAAGAAAAUCUCAAGGAAUAAUACCCUUGAGUCUGACGGUACCACUUGAGGAAGCCCCGGCUAACUACGUGCCAGCAGCCGCGGUAAUACGUAGGGGGCAAGCGUUGUUCGGAAUCACUGGGCGUAAAGGGAGCGUAGGCGGAAGGAUAAGUUAGGAGUAUAAUAUACGGGCUUAACUCGUAAUCUGCUUCUAAUACUGUUUUUCUUGAGUAUGGGAGAGGGAAAUGGAAUUCCAGGUGUAGCGGUGGAAUGCGUAGAUAUCUGGAAGAACACCAGCUGCGAAGGCGGUUUCCUGGCCCAAUACUGACGCUGAGGUUCGAAAGCUAGGGGAGCAAACAGG